ACUGGAUGUGCCUGCAGGUGAAUGGUUUGUUGCCUGAAGAUGAGCUCGCGUCUGAUUAGCUAGUUGGUGGGGUAAGAGCCUACCUAGGCUACGAUCUGUAGCUGGUCUGAGAGGAUGAUCAGCCACACUGGGACUGAGACACGGCCCAGACUCCUACGGGAGGCAGCAGUGGGGAAUUUUCCGCAAUGGGCGAAAGCCUGACGGAGCAAUACCGCGUGAGGGAGGAAGGCUCUUGGGUUGUAAACCUCUUUUCUCAGGGAAGAACACAAUGACGGUACCUGAGGAAUCAGCAUCGGCUAACUCCGUGCCAGCAGCCGCGGUAAUACGGAGGAUGCAAGCGUUAUCCGGAAUGAUUGGGCGUAAAGCGUCCGCAGGUGGCUGUGUAAGUCUGCUGUCAAAGAGCGAAGCUCAACUUCCUAAAGGCAGUGGAAACUACACGGCUAGAGUGCGUUCGGGGCAGAGGGAAUUCCUGGUGUAGCGGUGAAAUGCGUAGAGAUCAGGAAGAACACCGGUGGCGAAGGCGCUCUGCUAGGCCGCAACUGACACUGAGGGACGAAAGCUAGGGGAGCGAAAUGGAUUAGAUAC
Molecule: ribosomal RNA, 585 nt
Filed under: Nostoc sp. H04
Lineage: Bacteria; Bacillati; Cyanobacteriota; Cyanophyceae; Nostocales; Nostocaceae
Description: SSU rRNA
Rfam family: Bacterial small subunit ribosomal RNA
Source: RNAcentral